Molecule: ribosomal RNA, 497 nt
Filed under: uncultured bacterium
Lineage: Bacteria
Description: partial 16S ribosomal RNA
Rfam family: Bacterial small subunit ribosomal RNA
Source: RNAcentral
GAUGAACGCUGGCGGCGUGCCUAAUACAUGCAAGUCGAGCGAACAGAUGAGGAGCUUGCUCCUCUGACGUUAGCGGCGGACGGGUGAGUAACACGUGGAUAACCUACCUAUAAGACUGGGAUAACUUCGGGAAACCGGAGCUAAUACCGGAUAAUAUAUUGAACCGCAUGGUUCAAUAGUGAAAGACGGUUUUGCUGUCACUUAUAGAUGGAUCCCCGCCGCAUUAGCUAGUUGGUAAGGUAACGGCUUACCAAGGCAACGAUGCGUAGCCGACCUGAGAGGGUGAUCGGCCACACUGGAACUGAGACACGGUCCAGACUCCUACGGGAGGCAGCAGUAGGGAAUCUUCCGCAAUGGGCGAAAGCCUGACGGAGCAACGCCGCGUGAGUGAUGAAGGUCUUCGGAUCGUAAAACUCUGUUAUUAGGGAAGAACAAAUGUGUAAGUAACUAUGCACGUCUUGACGGUACCUAAUCAGAAAGCCACGGCUAACUACGUG